UACGAGAGGCCCAAACGUUAUUCGGAAUUACUGGGCUUAAAGAGUUCGUAGGCGGCGCGGAAAGUGGGGUGUGAAAGCCCUCGGCUCAACCGAGGAAUUGCGCUCCAAACUGCCGUGCUUGAGGGACCUAGAGGUGAGCGGAACUGAUGGUGGAGCGGUGAAAUGCGUUGAUAUCAUCAGGAACACCGGAGGCGAAAGGCGGCUCACUGGGGGUCU
RNAcentral lists this ribosomal RNA (216 nucleotides) under uncultured bacterium. RNAcentral describes it as "partial 16S ribosomal RNA". It matches the Rfam family "Bacterial small subunit ribosomal RNA", at positions 524 to 738 of the family's 1533-position model. The record is from RNAcentral.